Molecule: long non-coding RNA, 10801 nt
Filed under: Glycine max (soybean)
Lineage: Eukaryota; Viridiplantae; Streptophyta; Magnoliopsida; Fabales; Fabaceae
Description: long non-coding RNA (GMAX_LNC001745)
Source: RNAcentral
CAGAUGAUGCAGUUAAGAAAGACUCUGAACUCCAAGCUUGGUGGAAGGAAGUUGUUGAGAAGGGUCAUGGUGACCUGAAAGACAAGCCUUGGUGGCCUAAAAUGCAGACUCUUCAAGAGCUUAUUCAAUCAUGUUCUACUAUCAUAUGGAUUGCUUCAGCUCUCCAUGCAGCUGUUAAUUUUGGGCAAUACCCUUAUGGUGGUUUUAUCCUAAACCGUCCAACUCUUAGCAGAAGAUUGAUCCCGGAAAAAGGAACUCCAGAAUAUGAUGAGAUGGUGAAAAGUCAUCAAAAGGCUUAUUAGAAAACAAUUACGCCAAAGUUUCAGACUCUUGUUAACCUUUCAGUGAUAGAGAUAUUGUCAAGGCAUGCUUCUGAUGAGAUCUACCUUGGACAGAGGGACAACAGUCCUAAUUGGACCUCUAAUUCAAGGGCAAUAGAAGCCUUUAAAAAGUUUGGAAAAAAGCUAGCAGAGAUUGAGACAAAAAUCUCAGAAAGGAACAAUGAUCCAAAUCUUAGAAAUCGAACUGGACCAGCCAAAUUGCCCUACACUGUGCUUCUUCCUACCAGUAAACCGGGGUUGACUUUUAGAGGAAUUCCUAACAGUAUCUCUAUCUAAAGGAGUGUUUCAAUAACUGAUGCAUACUUAUGUGUGUAUCAUUGUAUGAGCUUCAUUAAGUAAUGUUAUUUAUUUGUUGGGAUAAGUGUGUGCGCAAAACUGAAUGUAUCUAAUUAAGUCAUUUAUAAUUUUAAUUUUAAUUUUUAUUUGUUAUAAGAUUAUUAUAAAUAAAACAUCAAUAAAUAUAUGUGAUGGUUUUUAUUAAUUUCUCUUUUUUAUUUCUUUUUCUUUUCAUUAUAUACACCCCAAAAAGGAGUGUAAUUUACUUUAAUUUUUCCAUUGUUCUAUAUAUUGCUCAUUGUAAUCUUUGCGCUGCCAUGUUGUCUUUAAUUAGCAAAUUCGGCAAAGGGAUACGUACCCAAAGGUCAAUGACAGGGAUGCCUCCUCGAGCGUUUGAACACAUUUGUCUUUAGUUAAUAAUAUAAAUUUUUAUAUUCAAAUUAAUAUAAAAAAUUAAACUCUUUUGAAAUGCUAAUAACUAAAUAAAAAUAUACUAUUAAAAAAUUAUGAAAUACCUUAAAAGAAUUGGUAGAUGUCUAGUGGUCACUGAUCAGCAUCUAGAUUGAAAGUAUGAGAUGGAAUACCGAGAAAUGAAAUGAUAUUUUAUUAUUUUGCAUUAAAUAAAAUAACAACAUAAUAGAACAACUUUUGGAUUUGCUUGAAUAUUUUUUUUUUAUAAAUAAUUAUAUGAAAAGAAAAUAAAACAAGAUAAAAUAAAUUGAACUUUUUCCCUAGGCUAAAAUCAAUAUAUUCACUUCGAUUGAAAAGAUUUCCAUAUAUCUGAGUUGUCUAAAAGUUAAGAUAUAUAAAAUGAUUUAAACUUAUGAAAAAACUCAGCAGACAUCUGAUUUUUUUACUUUCUUCUUCUAUUAGUGUUUUAUGAAUAAAUUAAAUUUAUCUAAACAAACCUUUUGAUGUGAAAUUAAAGUUAUCAUACUUUUGUAAUUCCAGACCAGGUAAAUUUUUUGUUAGGUGAAAAAAUACAACAUUCUGAACCGGGUAAAUAAGCAUUCAAUUGAAAAGUUAACUUGGUGAACAACUUCUAUUCACACUCUGAGAGAUAGAACAUAACACCAUUCAAAAUUGUGCAUAACACCGUUCAAAAUUGUGCUUACAAUGCCUCUUGGAUUUUAACUAACGGAAACUUUUGCUUCUUACACGAACCAGCUGAUAAGGUCGAUCGCAUCUAAGAUCGAUGCACCACUCAUUUUUGCUUAUAUGAGCUGAUUAUUAUUCAUCAUUUCCCCUAGUUAUAUUUUUUAAUGCAUUUACUGCAUUAGUGUUGCUUUGCUAAUAAUUUUUUUUUAUAAUUGCAGUGUAUUAAAAUUAAACAACUAUUUUAGUUUUUCAUAAGUUGUACUCAGCCUAGUGCGAGGAACACGUGCAUCCUUAGCUUUGAACCUGGAAAUGAAAGACGUAUAAAACAAAGUUUUAUUUAAAGAAUUUUGUUAAAUGCUGACCUAGUAAUAUUAAAUAAAAUAUAUUUAAUUACCUCUUAAAAUAUUACAUGUUUCAUAGUUAUUUUAAAGAGCAUUAAAGAUUUUAUGUUUUAAACGAAUUAAUUACUAUUUUAAACUUUGAACUUUAUUUAAAUUUUUAUUCGAUUCUUUAACUAUUUUCUUCAGUUUAAUUAUUUAACUUAUAUUUUUAUAUGAAAUUUAUCUUUUCAUUAACUUUUAUUAUAACUGAGUUCUUUCAUAUAGAAAACUAGAUUAUUUCACCUCCAUCUUUCUCUUUCUCUUUCUCUUCUCUCUCCGAGCACCGCCAACAAGCUUUUGUUCAUAAUUCUCUCACUGUCUUCAUAAUCAUAUAGGCUCUAAUUAACUUCUUUUAUUUUAUUAAGACUCUCUCUCUCCUAUAUUCCUAAUAUAAUCACCGUCUAAACAUUCAUGCUUUCUGCUAGAAAGACCCACACCAAUAACCUUUACCAGUUAUACUUCUCCAAAUCAAAAUUAAGUGUUUAUUUAGAUUGGUGAUGAUUUGAAUUUACCAAGAUUUUUGGAAGCAAAUAAUAGUUAUUUUGGUGGUGAAUUCAUCUUGAUUUUGUGUGUUUGGUCCCUAUAUUAAAAUUAAAAAUGUGAAUGCAUUACACAUAUAAGAACCAAUUAUAAAAAAUACACUAAGGGGGCAAAUUAAAGAAUACAUGUAUAGGAAUCAAAUUAAAAUGUAAGAGUAUUAGAGACGACCUCAUAACAAUAGGAACCAAACAUUUACACUCACGAUUCCUUGGUAGAAAAAAAGAAGAAGAAAUACAUGGAUAAUAUGAUGGAAAAAAAAAAGAUAAAUGAAAAUAGAUGAUAGAUGAAAUAAAAAUAAACAUAUUUGAUUUAGCAGGAUUAAAAAAUAGAUAAAUAGUUAAAUAAAAUAAGAAAAAAAAACCUUAUGGUGUCAUUUUUUUCUUUCUCAUUUUUCUCAGACACUCAUUUUUGCUUAUUUCUUUCUUCUCCAUUUUAUUGCUCCUUUAAUUUACCAUAAAAAAGGUUACAGUGACGGGCUUAAUAACUUUUUACCAUAGGUAUAGAAAUUAAAUCAAUAACUUUUUCCCACCUGAUUUAGCUUACAUGUAGGAUAUUUUUUUAUUUAGAAGAUGAAAAUCAAUAUCAUCUCAAAGAUAAAAUAAUUAAAACUUAUACUUCAAGCUUAUUUAAAAGAAUAUUUACUAUCAAUCUUUAUAAAAUAAAGAGAGCCUUAUCUGUUCUGUUAAUAAAAAACCAACACAUGUUAGUAAAAAAUCUAACACGUUUAAAGUAAAAGAAAUCAUAUUUACUUUAAAUCUCAUAUAAUUGGGCUGACCCUGAUAAAAAUAGAAUAUUUUUAAAAAUUACAAUAAAAUAUAAAAUAUAUAAGUCCCGCAGAAAAGUAUAAAAUUUGCUCCAAUUUCUCACCUUUCAUCCAAAACAAAAGAGAGUCUUAAGGACCUAAUAGCGCAAGGCUGAUAUAUAUUGCAUAGGGUUCUUUAAAUAAUAUUAUCCUUGGAAACGGUGCCGGUCAUAUUAAUGCAUCAAUGCUCAGACCAAUUUGACAUAUUAAAAACAUUUCUUGGAGUCCUCGAAGACCAACUGCAACUACAAGCGUGCGGGACUUGUUUAUUUUUGGAUCGUACUGUAUGAUUUAUAUAAUUUUUUUGCAUUAAAAAAUAUUUUCUUAGUAUUAGAUUCAAUAAAACUUCAUUCUUGUUUUGCACGUGAUGGCUUUCCUAAUUGUAGGUCUGUGAGUUUUCUAAUCGAUCUGUGGGCAGUGAGCUAGCCUCUUUUAUUUUAAAAAUAUAUAUUUGAUGUCCUCUAAGAUUUUAUAACUUAUUGUUACAAAAUAUUGAUAUAAUUGUUAAUUGAUAAUCAAUCAUUUUAGUCCCAAAAACAUAUUUCAUCAUCAGUUUUUUAAAGAUGGUUUAUCUGUUAUUUUAAUUCUACCAUUAAAAAGCUUUAGUUUAAAUUAAUGUUUAUGCUUACAAGACAUGUUACUUACUUAUAUGGCAAAUGAUAAUGUACAUGUAUAUAAUAUGUUACAUGAAUGACAAGAUUGACGUGUUCAAUUUAAACUUAUUUAAAGAAAAAACUAAAAAUUUCUAAAAAUAUUUGAAAAUUGAAUCAAUCCGAUAUUUUUUGAAUUUGUAUACGAAUAAUAUUAUGAUCAAUUGGUCCAUUUCAAUUUCUGGUUUAUGUCUUUGGAAUCUAUCCAAAUCGAUUUGAAUUGCAUAUGAUUGUAAAGUUAUGCCAUUUAAUUUGUUUUUAUUUUUAAUUAAUCACUCUAUACAAUACUCAAGUAUGCAUUUUAGUACUGUUAUGCCCUUUUAUGAUUUUAUUUUUUCAAUAAAAGAAAACUGAAGUAAUGAAAUGUAUACGAAACUAAGCAAUUUCUUUCAGAAUUGUAGUUUGUUGUUAAUAAUAAAUAUGUUUUUUAUUCUUACAUGCUCAAACAGGCUUUGUUAACCUUAUUUGUUGAAUUAUGCGUUAUGCGAAAAUAAUUAAACAUAUUAUGAAUGAACCUUGUGGAGUCGACUCUUUAAAGCUUCCACUCUUUUGAUAAAUAGUAGGUACUAUUAAUUAGACAAGUUCUUCUAUAAGAUAUUAAUAAUAUAAUUGUUGUCAUGUAUUUUUUUUUUCUUUUAUAAGAUAUUAAUAAUAUAAUUAUUGUGUAAAUGUCAAAUUCAAGCCUUGGAUUAUGACUCAAUUAAUUACUAGCAGGUUUUACAAUAUUGCGUCAAUUACAAAAACCAAAAUAAAUGUAAUAAAUUGAUAUAAUGAUAGCAUAAAUAAAAAUAUUGAUAAUUGAAGUAUAUCAAUAAACAAAAAUAAUAGUGAAAUAUUUAUUGACAGAAAUGAAAGUGUCAUAGUCUAAAUCUAACACAUGUAUAUAUGAAAUAAUAUUAUAUAAAUUUUAAACUUUUUAGUGUUGUAACUUUUUCUAGAUUAGACAAUUAAACCGUAUAGGUGAUUGGUUAGAUGGUAUAUCUCUAAUAUUUCAAGUAAGGUUUCUGACUCUUCUAAAAAAAAGAAGAAGGUUUCUGACUUCAAUUUUUGUGUUUGAAAAUAAUUUUCAUAAAGAGAGAUAAUCUCUUUAUAUUGUAUGGAUAUAAAUUUUUGACACAAACAAAAUUGUUUUAAAAUUAUAAUUAACCUCUAUUAAUUUAAUCCUUCAAUUAAUGCAAUUGAUCAUGACGUUAAGUUAUUCUUUUAAAAUUUUUGUGAUAUUAAACAAAUCCUUUGAGUGUAAACAGACACAAGAAAAAUUAACAAGAUUAAACUAAUCAAUAACUUUAUGGAUAACAUCAAUAUAUGAUAUAAUAAAAAACACCAAUAAUGUGUUCAAAUAUAUACAUCAUGUUCCAUAUGUUUUUAGCAGCCAUAUAUUAUAAUAAUCAACCUUGGCUGCAACUUGAGGUAAAAGCAUGUUCAAAGUUACAUCUCUUAAUUUCCAUCUAUAAAUAAACCUACUUUGCAUCGUUACAACUCACAAAUCACAAUACAAAGCGUCUCUUACGUACUUGCCAAAGAGGAACAAAAGUGUUUGAGUGUUGAUAGCAUCAUCAAGAAGAAGUUGUAAAGAUGUUAGGGCUAUUUGACAAGAGCCACAAGAUCAAGGGCACUGUGGUGUUGAUGCCCAAAAGUGUCUUGGACAUUAACGACUUGAAUUCAGUCAAAAAUGGCGGAGUUGGUGGCGUUGUCUCUGGUAUCUUUGGCGCCGUCGCCGACGUAACCGGCCAAAUAGUUGAUACUGCAACUGCCAUCUUUUCCCGGAACGUCUCCUUCAAGUUGAUCAGUGCUACCUCCACUGAUGGUUUGUUUCUUAUCUCUUCCCAUUGUUUCUCUCUGCCAUGCUUAGUUGCUUACACUUUUUUUUUUUUAAGAUAUUUCUAACCCAUCACUACUCUUAAAAUAUAAAUUAAAGAAUUAAGAAGUCAAAUCAAACAUGUUUUUAGAAUUCUAAUAUUUUAAAAAUGAAAAUAGCUUUUAAAAAAUAAAAAUAAAAAAUAAAAACAGAAAAUGAAAAUGUCAUCAUCCGGUUAGAAAGUAAGCGCAUUAAAUUUCAAUGAGAUUAUUUACUUUUAUAUUUUGUUAAAAUUCAUAAAAAUUAAUUAUAGUAAUUUUUUACUAUACAUUAAACUUUCUUUUCCGUAAAUUUUUCACUAUUUUAAAAAGUUAUAAUUUUUAAAUUUAAUUUGAUCAUUUUAUCCUAAAUAUAAAUUGUUUGUUUCUACUCAUUUAUUUGAGUUACAUAUCUUUUUAUAAGUUUAAAUUGAGUUUAAUUUCCAUUCAUUAUCAAUGUAAAUAUUUUUUCUUGUUGAAAAUUUAUUUAGAUAUAACUUUUAAAAUGAUUAUUAUUAAAUUUAAUAGAAUUUUCAUGAUUGGAUAAUAAUAUGAAAGAAUUUAUAUUCUUCAAUUCAUUUUUUUGUCUUUUAUUUAAAUUUAAAAAUAUUCAUAGAUAUUUGUCAAUUCUAUGCAUAUAUACAAGUUUCCCAUGUAACGUUUUUUUUUUCUUUUCAUGAUCAGGACAGCUUUCUGUCAAUAGUUUAUAAAUUAUGUAUAAAAUUAUUUAUGCAUGUAUCACUUUUUAAAUAUUAUUGUUUGCUCAAAGACACUCAUCUUUUUUCAUUUUCUUUUUGGUUUUAUUUGUAUGUUUUUCUGUAGCAAAGGGAAAUGGGAAAGUUGGAAACGAAACCUUUUUGGAGAAGCAUCUUCCGACGCUACCAACCUUGGGAGAUAGAAGGGAUGCAUACGAUAUUCAUUUCGAAUGGGAUGCUAACUUUGGAAUUCCAGGAGCAUUUUACAUCAGAAACUACACCUAUGAUGAGUUCUUCCUUGUCAGUGUCACUCUUGAGGACAUUCCAAAUCAUGGAACCAUUCACUUCGUCUGUAACUCAUGGGUUUACAACUUUAAAGACUACGACAAAAAGGAUCGUAUUUUCUUUGCCAAUAAGGUAAGUGUAGCUCCAUUAUUUAUUUAUAUAUGUAGUCUUAAUCAUUUUUUAAAUGAGAAAAUUAUUUCAUGAAAUUAAAUGUAUUGUAGACAUAUCUUCCAAGUGCAACACCGGGUCCAUUAGUUAAGUAUAGAGAAGAAGAGUUGAAGAUUUUAAGAGGAGAUGGAACGGGAGAGCGCAAGGAACAUGAAAGGAUCUAUGAUUAUGAUGUCUACAAUGAUUUGGGUAAUCCAGAUGAAGAUGUAAAGCUUGCUCGUCCAGUUCUUGGAGGCUCCAGCACCUAUCCUUAUCCUCGUAGGGUUAGAACUGGUAGAAAAGCCACCAAGAAAGGUUAGACUUUGUCUUUUCUUUUAUCAUGUUGUGAUUACUUAAUUUAAUAAGGAAAUUGAUACAGGGGACCAAGUUGUUGGUCGAAAUCUUUUGAAUAAAACAAAUAAUAUUACAAUGUGGUUGGUAAGAAGAGAAAGAGAAGAAAUAUAUUUUAAUGGGGGAAAAGAAUAAGAAGGAGAGGUCUCAUUGUUUAUAGUUUAGUCAAGAGAAAGAAGAGACAUUGGUAUAAUUUGAACAAGAGAAAUAUAUGGUAUACCUUAUUCGGUUUAUAAAGAAAAAUAAGAGAAAAAUCACCUUAUUUGAUUUGUAAAGGAGAAAAAAAUAAUAUAGUUUUUAUAUUUUUAUAAACUAUAAUAAAAUAAUGAAAAGAUGAAUAAAAUUUUAAGAAACUUUCGUCUUCACAAUUUAAAAUUUAAUUAUAAUCACUUUUCUUCUUUUUCAAAAUUUCUUAAUAUUUGAGGAUUUAAAUCGUAAAGGAAAUUAAAAAGAAAAGUCAUGUAUUAUUAUUUGUGUGAUUUUGUGAUAUAGACUUGACAAAAAGUAACUUUUUUUGUGUGGUUUAUUUUUUGGGUACGCAAUUUGACAUGUUCUUCUGAAUUUUUUUGCUGAUAUUUCUGCUAAUAUUAUGAACUAUUCGAUUCUUAACAGAUCCUAAAAGCGAGAGACCAGCAAGCGAGCUUUACAUGCCAAGAGAUGAAAAAUUCGGUCACUUGAAGUCAUCAGAUUUCCUCACAUAUGGAAUAAAAUCAUUAUCUCAAAAGCUCUUACCUUCGCUCGAAAACGUUUUUGAUUCAGACCUCACAUGGAAUGAGUUUGAUAGCUUUGAAGAAGUAAGAGACCUGUAUGAAGGUGGAAUUAAGGUUCCAACAGGUGUUCUUAGCGACAUUAGCCCCAUACCAAUCUUCAAGGAAAUCUUUCGCACUGAUGGUGAAAGUGUCCUUCAAUUUCCACCACCUCAUGUAGUCCAAGGUACCUUAAUUAGAAUUUAAUACUCACGCACUAGUUAAUUAACAGCUUAAAGCAAAUUUUAUAUUAUCAAUUAAUUAAAAAUCACUUUUAAUAUAAUUUUUAAAAUAAUUAUUAAUAAAGUCAACAAAUUAAAACUCAUCAUACAUAUUGAUUUGUGAUCAUAUAAAAUUAUUAUACUAUCAAUGUUAACCUAUUUCUUUCAAAAUAAUUAAUCUCAUUUGAUAAUUAAUUAUUUUCUUUUAUGGUUUGAGCAGUUACUAAAUCUGCAUGGAUGACCGAUGACGAAUUUGCAAGAGAGAUGAUUGCAGGUGUAAACCCAAAUGUAAUUCGUCUUCUUAAAGUAAGUCCAAAAUCCAAAUAUUUUAUUGUUAAUUAAUCAGUGAAUAAUGCUAAAGUGUUUAUAAUAUAUUGCCCCCUAUCUGACUAUUGGACAUUUUUUCUCAUUUUUAAUACUGGCAGGAGUUCCCCCCACAAAGCAAGCUGGAUCCCUCUCUCUAUGGUGAUCAAUCUAGUACAAUAACAAAAGAACAUUUGGAGAUUAACAUGGAUGGGGUAACAGUAGAAGAGGUAAUGAUAUACAUGCGUGCUAGCUCCACUAUAAAAUGCAUAUUAACUUUUUAUUAGCCAUAAUGAUUUUUUCUAUAUUCCCUACAACAACUUAUUCUUUUGAGGAAAAUAUAAAUUUCGACAUGACUGGAAACAUAUGGGGUACAUCAUAUAUAGCUGAUGCAACUACACGGAUCACAUGAAUUAAUAUACUAAACAGAAAAAAUUAAGCAAGGGUUGAAUGAAAAAAAGUGUUAAAUACAUUAAAUAUGUUAGAGAUGAUAAUAUAAUAUUGAAGUGAUAUUGUUUGUGAUUCAAAUUAAGCUAUGAAACAAAGUGAUCACUGAAUUUAAUUUUUUGGAACAGGCACUUAAUGGUCAGAGAUUAUUCAUAUUAGAUUAUCAAGACGCAUUCAUGCCAUAUUUGACAAGGAUAAACGCACUACCUUCUGCAAAGGCUUAUGCCACAAGGACAAUCCUGCUCUUGAAAGAUGAUGGGACUUUGAAGCCACUUGCUAUCGAAUUGAGCAAGCCACAUCCAAGUGGAGAUAAUUUGGGUGCCGAGAGCAAAGUGGUCUUGCCUGCAGACCAAGGUGUUGAAAGCACAAUUUGGCUAUUGGCCAAGGCUCAUGUUAUUGUAAAUGACUCGGGCUAUCAUCAACUCAUGAGCCACUGGUAUGAACUUUAUUUGCUAGCCAGCAACAUUUGUAAACAUGCUUACUAUUAUUAAUUACUAUUUUUAAAUGCUUGAGCUUAAUAAUUAUAUCUGUACUGUAAAUGUAAAUUUUCUAUCAAUAAAGAAUAAUCAAUAUUAUAUCACCUUUAAAGUAGUUAUUAUAAUACUGAACAAACUUACAUAUGUGAAGGUUUAUGAUUCAAUCUGUUGAGCAAAAGUUUAAUACUAUAAGUGUAUACAUUGUUUAUUCUAAUUGUUUUUUUAUACUUGGGGUUACAGGUUAAAUACUCAUGCAGUGACAGAGCCCUUCAUCAUAGCAACAAACAGGCGUCUCAGUGUGCUUCACCCCAUUUAUAAACUUCUUUAUCCUCACUAUCGUGACACCAUAAAUAUCAAUGGACUUGCUAGGAAUGCCCUAAUUAAUGCUGGUGGCGUUAUAGAGGAAUCAUUUUUGCCUGGACGGUAUUCUAUCGAGAUGUCUUCAGCUGUUUACAAGAAUUGGGUUUUCACUGACCAAGCAUUACCGGUCGAUCUCAUCAAGAGGUAAUCUUACUGAAUAUAAAAUUACUAUAAGAAAAAGAUAAAAAUAAUGUAUGCCCUUAUAAUUCAUCAAAUCAUAAAUUUUUAUUAUCUUAAAAGUUAUGUCUAUUAUAAUUUUUUAUUGGUUGACAGUGUAAAAUAAAUGUUGAAAGAAAAGUAAAUAUAGGAUUUUAAGUUAAAAGCAUUUAAGAUUUGAAAUGUAAUGUGGCUUAUAAUAGAAGCAUGAACUUGUUCAAUCGUGGGACUAAAAAAAUAGAAAUAUACCAUUCUAAUGAAGGCAUAAAUUGAGAGAGGCUAGCUUGUUGAAUUUGUCAAUAACAUUUUAUUUUGUGCUUUAUUCAGAGGAAUGGCAGUUGAGGAUCCAUCCUCUCCCCAUGGCCUUCGUCUUGCGGUAGAGGACUACCCAUAUGCUGUUGAUGGACUAGAAAUAUGGGAUGCUAUUAAGUCAUGGGUCCAAGAGUAUGUUUCCUUGUAUUACCCAACAGAUUUGGCAAUUCAACAAGAUACUGAACUCCAAGCAUGGUGGAAGGAAGUUGUUGAGAAGGGUCAUGGUGACUUAAAAGACAAGCCUUGGUGGCCUAAAAUGCAGACUCGUCAAGAGCUUAUUCAAUCAUGUUCUACUAUCAUAUGGAUUGCUUCAGCUCUCCAUGCAGCUGUUAAUUUUGGACAAUACCCUUAUGGUGGUUUUAUCCUAAACCGUCCAACU